UUCAUUUUCUUGUCCUGAUAAUGCUAAUCUUACCGAAAUAUUCUUCCUCGUAUAUUACUUCCUGCAAAAGUUUCAAUUUUGGAUUUAUGAGAUCUUCUAAUAAUACCCACUUAUUAGUCAUUUCGGCAAGAAUAUUUGUUAAAAUUAGCAUUACUCGUAUGCAUUUAUUCGAUGCAUGAGAUUUUAUCAGAAGUGAUUUCUGCAAAAUAUUCGUUAAAAUUAGCUUUGUCAUUUUACUUCCUUAUUUCUUGUUUAUGUUGUAUUUGUAUGAUGAUAAAUUGUGGAAGAAUUAAUUAUUUUGCAGGUACAUGUUUUUUGUUAGUGGAAUCUGUGCUAGUUAUGCUUUUCUUGCUGCUGUCUCCACAUGGAUCAGAUGCUUUGCUACAAAGGCUUGGCUGUUCUUUGUCUCUGACCAGAUUGUAGCUUAAUUGAUGGCUGCAUCUGGGACUGCCGUCUUAGAGAUAUUAUACCUGACUUACAGUGGAGUGAAGCCCUCUCUUCUUAUGGGAAGUUUUGCUAUAGAAUGAAGGUACAGUGAUUCUCCAUGUUUUGGCUCUUGCCUGCUUUAUUAUCUUAGCUCUAACCUCAGCAUAUAGAGCUUUUAGCAUAUUUGAACCUCCUCUCGUUCCUUCUAAAGAAGUUGAAGAAGAAGAUAGAGCAUCAAUGCCAUUUUCUUUUCUUAAUGGUCUAUGUGGUAGAUCUGUCUUAAGUAAUUGAAUGCUACUGGGAUUUCAUUGAAUAAUAGUAUAUGUGAUACGUAUGCCCAGUGAAAACAUUCUAGACAAUGAGUUCAAUAAUA
Populus euphratica (Euphrates poplar) is the source of this 799-nucleotide long non-coding RNA. RefSeq lists it as uncharacterized. The record is from RefSeq and is a predicted model, not a curated record. The transcript has 2 exons. NCBI's taxonomy places the organism in Eukaryota, Viridiplantae, Streptophyta, Magnoliopsida, Malpighiales, Salicaceae.